RNAcentral lists this ribosomal RNA (253 nucleotides) under uncultured bacterium. RNAcentral's name for it is "partial 16S ribosomal RNA". It matches the Rfam family "Bacterial small subunit ribosomal RNA", at positions 524 to 776 of the family's 1533-position model. The record is from RNAcentral.
UACGUAGGGUGCAAGCGUUGUCCGGAAUUAUUGGGCGUAAAGAGCUCGUAGGCGGUCUGUCGCGUCGGAUGUGAAAACCCAGGGCUCAACCCUGGGCCUGCAUUCGAUACGGGCAGACUAGAGUUCGGUAGGGGAGACUGGAAUUCCCGGUGUAGCGGUGAAAUGCGCAGAUAUCAGGAGGAACACCGGUGGCGAAGGCGGGUCUCUGGGCCGAAACUGACGCUGAGGAGCGAAGGCGUGGGGAGCAAACAGG